Molecule: long non-coding RNA, 534 nt
Organism: Carassius carassius (crucian carp)
Lineage: Eukaryota; Metazoa; Chordata; Actinopteri; Cypriniformes; Cyprinidae
Exons: 2
Source: RefSeq, a predicted model, not a curated record
UUCAAAAGGUAAACUUAGUAUCUUUUUUAACCCUAAGAGGUGCAUAAUAGCACCUUAAAGGUACAUAUUAUUUCCAAAACUGUACGUAUUAGUAGCUAAAUGGUACAUUUUAGUAUGAAAUAUUUGAAAGGGUACUGUUCCAUUUACAACUUUUGUAACUUUUUUUAGGGUGUAGUGUAACUUUUAAAACUCCUCUCCUGGAAAAAAGUAAGUGUUAGGAGGUGACAACUUAGUAUAAAUUCAUACCAUAUCAUUUGUACAAAAACAUAUGAUUUUUAGAAAAACAAUACACAUGAGGGUCCACACAUGAACUUAAUGGUCAAUGGCAGAUUGUAUGAAAAGGUAAAAAUAAGACUGUACAACCUCAUGACUGUGUUGCAAAACCACCUCAAUCUGAAAAUCAGCAGCUUUGUGAUGAUCGUGCACAACUUCUUUGCUGUUCAGAAGCCUUUUUUGUCUGUGAGGGGAGAAUAGUCCUGAGAAACUAAAAUGUAACUGUUGUUGGUGUAAAAUCUUCAUGGAAAAUUGUAAUAA